AGCUUCACGAAGUCGGGUUGCAGACUUCGAUCCGAACUGAGAGAGGCUUUUGGGAUUAGCAUCCUGUCACCAGGUAGCUGCCUUCUGUACCCCCCAUUGUAACACGUGUGUAGCCCCGGACGUAAGGGCCGUGCUGAUUUGACGUCAUCCCCACCUUCCUCACAUCUUACGACGGCAGUCUCUCUAGAGUCCUCAGCAUGACCUGUUAGUAACUAAAGAUAAGGGUUGCGCUCGUUAUGGCACUUAAGCCGACACCUCACGGCACGAGCUGACGACAACCAUGCAGCACCUUCACAUUUGCCUUGCGGCUAACCUGUUUCCAGAUUAUUCAAAUGCAAUUUAAGCCCGGGUAAGGUUCCUCGCGUAUCAUCGAAUUAAACCACAUGUUCCUCCGCUUGUGCGGGCCCCCGUCAAUUCCUUUGAGUUUCACCGUUGCCGGCGUACUCCCCAGGUGGAAUACUUAAUGCUUUCGCUUGGCCGCUUACUGUAUAUCGCAAACAGCGAGUAUUCAUCGUUUACUGUGUGGACUACCAGGGUAUCUAAUCCUGUUUGAUACCCACACUUUCGAGCAUCAGUGUCAGUUGCAGUCCAGUGAGCUGCCUUCGCAAUCGGAGUUCUUCGUGAUAUCUAAGCAUUUCACCGCUACACCACGAAUUCCGCCCACCUCUACUGUACUCAAGACAGCCAGUAUCAACUGCAAUUUUACGGUUGAGCCGCAAACUUUCACAACUGACUUAACUGUCCACCUACGCUCCCUUUAAACCCAAUAAAUCCGGAUAACGCUCGGAUCCUCCGUAUUACCGCGGCUGCUGGCACGGAGUUAGCCGAUCCUUAUUCAUAUGGUACAUACAAAAUUCCACACGUGGAAAACUUUAUUCCCAUAUAAAAGAAGUUUACAACCCAUAGGGCAGUCAUCCUUCACGCUACUUGGCUGGUUCAGGCCUGCGCCCAUUGACCAAUAUUCCUCACUGCUGCCUCCCGUAGGAGUUUGGACCGUGUCUCAGUUCCAAUGUGGGGGACCUUCCUCUCAGAACCCCUAUCCAUCGAAGGUUUGGUGAGCCGUUACCUCACCAACUGCCUAAUGGAACGCAUCCCCAUCGAUAACCGAAAUUC
Molecule: ribosomal RNA, 1113 nt
Filed under: Bacteroides thetaiotaomicron
Lineage: Bacteria; Pseudomonadati; Bacteroidota; Bacteroidia; Bacteroidales; Bacteroidaceae
Description: partial 16S ribosomal RNA
Source: RNAcentral